UACGUAGGGUGCAAGCGUUGUCCGGAAUUAUUGGGCGUAAAGAGCUUGUAGGCGGUUUGUCGCGUCUGCUGUGAAAUUUCGGGGCUCAACCCCGAACUUGCAGUGGGUACGGGCAGACUAGAGUGUGGUAGGGGAGACUGGAAUUCCUGGUGUAGCGGUGAAAUGCGCAGAUAUCAGGAGGAACACCGAUGGCGAAGGCAGGUCUCUGGGCCAUAACUGACGCUGAGAAGCGAAAGCAUGGGGAGCGAAUGGG
Molecule: ribosomal RNA, 253 nt
Filed under: uncultured bacterium
Lineage: Bacteria
Description: partial 16S ribosomal RNA
Rfam family: Bacterial small subunit ribosomal RNA
Source: RNAcentral